Molecule: non-coding RNA, 73 nt
Organism: Ruminococcus flavefaciens
Lineage: Bacteria; Bacillati; Bacillota; Clostridia; Eubacteriales; Oscillospiraceae
Source: Rfam
CUGGGUGUGGCGCAGUUGGUAGCGCGCUACCUUGGGGUGGUAGAGGCCGUGGGUUCAAGUCCCGUCACUCAGA